AAGAAUUUUUUGUUGUAAGAGGAAAUUGUAGUUGGAAUGCUUAAAAUUUAAGCAUCACCACUGUGCAAAUGUGCAUAAUUUGAACUUUUGUUUCAUGCACUCCCUUUGGUGUUGAAUGUAGUUUUGCAGAUACCAAAUUAAGGUCUGGCUUGGGUUGUGGAUGGGGUUGCAUAAAUGUUAACUCUAACCUAAUUUUAGUGUUGACCUUGGUUUGGUUAUAUAGACGUCUAAUCUUGAACAUCUCAUGCUGGGCUCAGUUUAGUUGAAGAUAUCUGAUGCAGAGCUGCAUAUAACUAAAUUGCUCUCUUACUGGCAGCCACUUAAAAUGUACCUAGUAAUAGUAUAUAAUUACUUCAAUUUAUCAGAGCAGUAUUUCAGUUGUCCUUAGUUAUGAGGAUUUUGGGGUGACAAAGAUAUUGAUCGGUCAUGUUCCCUUGUAGUGAUUCUAAAGUGCUGAUAUUGUAAGUUAUUUCUUCUGGGGUCGUCUGAAAUUAACUUGGUGUUGAGUGCUAAUGUUCAUUUGAGCUUGAUGAAUAGCACUGUCUUUCAAAAUAUUGUGUGAUUUUCUGUGUUUUAUCUAAUCAGGGAGAUUGUUUUGGGCUAGUUUUACCUUUUGGGGAUGGAUACUUCAUUUGGGAAAAAUCAGUUAAAUUUGUGAUUUUUGUUUUAACUAGGGUAAAGUUGUGUCCUUUCUAGAAAACAAUGAAAUAUAAACUCAACUUGCAUGGAAUUAAAAAUCAAGUCAAGGAUCUUUUGUUGGACAUAGACAUAAAAGAUCAACCAAUGUGAUAUCAUGUAAUCAAUAAAGUAUCAUAAUAUCUAUUAAUGUUCUUGUCUCAUCGAUCAUUUUCGUUAUCACCAAUUCUUGGAUUUCCUUUGGCAUUGUUUGGUGACAUACGGAAUGAGAACGUAGUAGUAUUCUAAUCCUAGUUUGGUUGCAAAAUAAAAAAAUGUAAUGUAAUGACAAUUUUUAUUAGUAUAUUUAGUUUAUUUGAUAGUAGCGGUAGCCAUGCUUUGGUGGUGGUGUUGGGGGAGAAUUUGUUGGUGGCGGUAGCAAUAGGAUGGUCUUGGUGAAAGUAAUAAAAGUAAAUCGACUAAUCAAGAUUCCUCAUUUAAAGCAAAAUUUAGGAAGAUUUCAGGUUGGUCUUACCUGGGCAUGGGCCCUUUUUUCCUUAGGUUUCAGGCCUAUGCUCAAAGGAUUCAGGCAAAGUAGGGCAUGACAUAGGACCCCAGCUUUAUUGGUAAAGCCUGGUUUGGGCUCAUCCAUGCCCAUCUGUAAUUAGAACUAUAUAUCGUAAUACAUUAAAAUGGUUACAUUUGAUGAUGGAUGAAUGGGUGGGUGAGGUUUUAUUUGGGUAAAUUGGAUACGGAUGCCCAUAUGCCAGGUAUGCUUAUACCUAGCAUCUCCUGUUUGUACUUUUGUACUUCUGUAUUUUGGUUCUGCUGGACGGUUAAUUAUGGUUGAUAAUGAUGAGAAGUUCUAAAUUAAUUUUUCAGAUGUUUGUUGCUUUGAUUUCGUACUGCAGAAACUAUUCAAAGGAGCUGUGAGGCAUCCUUAAAAUGCCUCCAGACCAACGGAUUCCCAUACGGGAAUUCAAUUGAUAUUUUUCCAGAGCUUAAAGAAGAAAUCAGUGUGCACUCAGGUGGGGAUGUUGUGGAACCAGUUCACUCAAUAAGCAGCGAAUUUCUUGAACUUCCUAGUGAAUUUCACAGCAAACCUACCUACCAUCAUGAUUUUGGCUUGUGGUCAACCUUCUAUCCUGACUCUCAAAAGGUUCAGCAGUGCCAAAUGAAUUGCUUUAAGAGUCAAGUUUAUCCCUUUCCUAUGGAAACUCGAUUUCAGUAUCCCCUGUCUAAUAUGUACUCCCAAGGUUACCCCUAUGAAUUUCAGUUCCAAGAUUUUCAGUAUUUUGUAGUCAUAGACUUUGAGGCUACUUGUGACAAGGAAAAAAAUCCCCAUCCACAAGAGAUAAUUGAGUUUCCAUCUGUCAUUGUGAGCAGUGUAACUGGCCAACUAGAAGCAUGUUUCCAGACAUAUGUGCGGCCAACUUGCAAUCAGCUCCUAAGUGAUUUCUGCAAGGAUCUGACUGGUAUCCAGCAAAUCCAGGUGGACCGAGGUGUCACACUUAGUGAGGCUCUCCUUAGGCAUGACAAAUGGCUUGAGAAGAAGGGGAUAAAAGACACUAACUUUGCUGUGGUUACAUGGUCAAACUGGGAUUGCCGAGUGAUGUUAGAAUCUGAGUGCCGAUUUAAGAAGAUCAGGAAGCCCCCUUAUUUUAAUCAGUGAGCUGACUUGUUAAUCUGAAUCCUUGCAUGAUAAAUAUAUGUUCUUUGUUUUGCAAAUUGUUUUUUAAUUGAAAAAAGUUGCUGAUAUAAACAGUGCAUUAUGAAUACACGGGGCCAUUUUCUAGCUCUUUCCUUUUAUUGGGAUGCUUUCAGAUAAAUAUGAAAACUACAUCUAAUAUGGGUAUAGUUUGGACUAAUUUUUUCAUUCAUUUAUUAGGUGGAUCAACUUGAAAGUUCCUUUCUGUGAGGUAUUUGGUGGUGUUAGGUGCAAUCUAAAGGAGGCUGUGGAGAUCGCAGGCCUAGCAUGGCAAGGCCGUGCUCAUUGUGGACUGGAUGACGCCAAAAACACUGCUCGCCUACUUGCCCUCCUCAUGUGCAGGGGUAUCAAAUUCUCCAUAACAAACUCACUAAUUUGGCAGACAACUGAUGGUUCAUUGCCGUCCCCUGACCGUCUUUCCUCACUACAUCAACCCUAUAAACCUAAGGAAAUGCGUAUUCCUUUUUUCCCUUAUCACCCUUUCUGUUACUGCGGAGUGGAGAGCAGCAAAGGCAUGGUUCGGAAGCCUGGACCAAAGCAAGGGAGCCUUUUCUUUGGCUGUGGCAACUGGACUGCAACUAGAGGUGCCCGCUGUCAUUACUUUGAAUGGGCAUCUACCUGACGUGAAACUAUGGAAAGACCUCUUUAUGUUUCGCCAUUGCAUCCUACAAUCUUUUGGGAUGUAAUAUGUAAAAAAAAUUAAAAAAGGGAUGGAAAGAAAUUUAGUGGCCUAGUUGGUUGUCUCCUAGUAGAAGCGGCUGUUUGGUGAGGUUUCUGCUUUAAAGAGAGAGUGAAGUAUAAAUAGCUGGCUCAAGAGUGUGGUAAAAAUGUGGGGAGCUACAGCCUGUAAAGCUGACUUGUGGACAGGAGAACAAAUUGGGAAUGCGAGGAAUGGUAGUUAGGAUGAGUUUUACAUGCUUAGACGUGCUAAAUUAUCAAUAUCAUAAAUAAUCAGUGAGAUAGAGACAACUGGGUUUCCUAUGGAUUUCUAAUGGGAAUAUGGGUAGAAGUGGCUGCCUUCAGUUUGCUGCUCUUUUCUCUCUGUGGGUGUGUUAUUUUAUUGGUGGUUGUGCCCAUCAUGAGCUACAACUACGUGGUCAUUUUGAUGCUUAAAAUGAUCUUUACCCCUCGUCAACCAGAUGUGCCAGCAGAAUAGCAUCAACUAAUGGAGAGAGAAAGCAAAUGAUGUUUUUUUAUGAUGGAAACUGUUAAACCUUCAUUAAGAUGAAAAGCCUUGGGAGGCAGCAUGACAGAAUACAUGACCUAUCCACCCUUUUAUUAACCAAAAAUGAAUUUAAAAAAAAAAAAUUUGAACUGGUAUUAACCACAAAUGAUUGUUGCGUAGAAAGAAGGGCAUUUAAAUUCACGGAAAUGGGCAUCCUAAGUUAUGUUUCUAGGCUUAUAUCUAACCAUCAAAUUUAUGAAUUAAUCGAAGAAUAAUGAGAUCAGGUAUGUGAAUCAAAGAACGGGCUCGGUUGCCUUUGUUACCCAGUUUCAAUCUUUUGGGGACUUUGUUCUGACUCUAGCCGUGCUUGAACUCCUCCGUUCUUCCCUGCGAGUUGAUCUCCAACGACUGCCCUCUGGAGUUGGUGGUGGUGGGGACUGCAGCUGCUUUGUUUCUUUCUGCCAUAACUAAGGUUUGGUGUGUUGGGCUGGGCUUAUGAACCUUUUAGUUUUAGCCAUGGGUUGUUUUGUUUGCUGAGCUAGACUUCAUUAUUUUCUAGCCUGUUGGUCUGUUUUAUUUAGGCUCUUAUAUUUGGGCUUUGACCAUGUAUGAUUUAUUCCCAUUGGCACAAAUGAUAUUUCUAGAAAAAAAAAAUAAAGAGCCUAGAAUAAUUAUAAUUAUAGCUAAUUAUUGUUAGAGAAAUGACUUUUUUUUUUCUUUUGUAAGAGGUGAGAUUAUGUUAGGGUUUGUACUUUAGCCUCUUCACGUGCUGGAUUAAUGGCUAUAAGGGGAGGGGACUGCAGAUUACUGAGUCAAUGACACUUGAUGAUGAGGCAGGACACACUUUGCUGCAACUGCAACUGAUGGGUCAUGGGAACACUUUCAAGAGUCGGCAGAUAAAUAAAUAAUUAAUAUAACUAAUUCUGGAAAAAGUAAGCUUUUUUUCAACAUUAGAAAAAUAUUAGCCCUCUUAUUUGUGGGUCACAAUUUCCCGGGAUGAAAGAUCCUCCAUAGAUAAUUUCUCUUACAUCUUUCAUGAUCCUUUUGAGAUUUGAACAAAAUACACCAGGGACAUGCACAAAGAUAGGAAGAGAGAAGCAUGAAGGGAGAAGGGAAAAGAGAAAAGGAAGGAAUAUCACUCCCUACCUUCUCUACCCUCUCUCUUAAAUGCUUCUUGCCUAUUUUAUACCUUCUCUAGCUUCCUUGUAUAUUUUUCCUUUCAAAAUCCUUCUUCUAACUUUCUUGAAUAUCUGCAUACAAGUCACUUCAUUUUCUUUCUUAACUUCCUCGCUCUUAUCCUGUUCUUUACCAUUCUUAUACUAAAAUGGAUGCAGCAAAACGAGCAAUGUGUACAGAUGAUCUUUUAAACCCACUUACUACCACCUUCGUGCAGAGCUGCAUUAUGCUUCUUAUCUCCCAGUUCUUUCAUGUAGUCCUGAAGCCCCUGGGACAACCGGGACCUAUAGCGCAGAUUUUGGCAGGAUUGGUGCUAGGUCCCUCAUUGUUAUGCCGGAUAAAGAAAAUCGGAGAAUUGUUCGAUCAGCGUGAUUUCUCUGAUUACAACUUCAUUGUCUCCUUCAUUUUCCGUAUCCUUUUUAUGUUCUUGAUCGGUCUUGAGACAGAUAUUCCUUACAUAAAGCGAAACUUUCGCCAAGCAAGCAUGAUUGCAUGUGGGGGCAUAAUUGCCUGUAGUGCCUUUGGAGCAGCAAUCACUAUCUUUGUAAUCCGUAUGUUGAUAAUAAAUGAGCACAAGCUUAUUUUCGCCCAUAUUAUCAUGAUAAUCUUAGCAAGCUCAGCCCCUCCUGUGGUGAUUCGUUUGAUAACUGAAUUAAAGUUUCAUACAGCAGAAGUAGGGAGAUUGGCUAUAUCUUCAUCUUUGAUUAAUGAAAUGUCUUGUAUGAUAUGGUAUGAUAUAGUUAUAGCUUUCACCUCAGGAAAAAUGUUUGGUCAUGGGAUUCUAUGCCUUGUUUUCACUGUGUUAGCCGUUGUUCUAAAUAGAUUCUUAGCAAUUUGGUAUAACAGGAGGAGGCAGAACCAAAGAUAUUUGCCAGGCACUGAUGUGUUAACCAUUUUGUCGCCCAUUAUAUUUUUCUCAUUUCUUAUUGAAGAAUUUGGAUACAACAGUACAAUUUCUUGUUUCUUCAUCGGUGUGAUGUUCCCCAGGGAAGGAAAAACAACUAGGACAUUGUUGCAUAAACUUACUUACUCUGUUAAUAAUUUCAUCCUUCCCAUUUACUUUGGCUUCAAUGGCUUCAGGUUCGAUGUAAGUUAUCUGGGUAGUUUUAGAAAUGUUAUUGUUGUUGUCCUUGUGAUCGUGCUCAGCAUUGGGGGCAAAAUUAUUGGAACACUAGUCGCUUGCCAUUAUCUAAAGAUUCCAAGGAAUGAGGGAGUGAUCCUUGCAUUUAUUCUCAACUUGAAAGGCCAUGGAGAACUUCUACUCAUUGAUGUAGUCCCCAAGUCCAAGGCCUUUGAUUGGUGGGAUGAUAACUUUCACAACUUGGUGAUAAUAGUAGUAGUGCUUAACACAUUUAUUGCAGGACCAGUAGUGUCUUGUAUAUUAAAAAGAGAAGAAAAAUACUCACAAGGUCACAACUCACUUGAAAUUGAUGAUGGUCCUCAGAGUGAACUCAGGAUUCUGUUUUGUGUUUAUAGCUCUCGCCAUAUAUCAGCAAAAAUUGGUUUAAUCUCAGCAUUGAAUGGGUUUAAAAAGGUCCCCAUCAGACCUUAUUUGAUGUACUUAGUUGAGCUACCCAAAAAACGCUGCAAAACCAAAUUGAUGUACCACGAGCUAGAAGAUGGAGAUCAAUAUAGUGAUGAAGAAGACU
RNAcentral lists this unclassified non-coding RNA (6313 nucleotides) under Hevea brasiliensis (rubber tree). Lineage: Eukaryota; Viridiplantae; Streptophyta; Magnoliopsida; Malpighiales; Euphorbiaceae. The record is from RNAcentral.